This 82-nucleotide transfer RNA is filed under the name Clostridia bacterium. RNAcentral's name for it is "tRNA-Leu". It matches the Rfam family "tRNA". Rfam says of the family: Transfer RNA (tRNA) molecules are approximately 80 nucleotides in length. Their secondary structure includes four short double-helical elements and three loops (D, anti-codon, and T loops). Further hydrogen bonds mediate the characteristic L-shaped molecular structure. tRNAs have two regions of fundamental functional importance: the anti-codon, which is responsible for specific mRNA codon recognition, and the 3' end, to which the tRNAs corresponding amino acid is attached (by aminoacyl-tRNA synthetases). tRNAs cope with the degeneracy of the genetic code in two manners: having more than one tRNA (with a specific anti-codon) for a particular amino acid; and 'wobble' base-pairing, i.e. permitting non-standard base-pairing at the 3rd anti-codon position. The record is from RNAcentral. Lineage: Bacteria; Bacillati; Bacillota; Clostridia.
GCGGAUGUGGUGGAAUGGCAGACACGAUAGACUUAGGAUCUAUUGGGCGACCGUGGGGGUUCAAGUCCCUUCAUCCGCACCA